This 1302-nucleotide long non-coding RNA is filed under the name Hordeum vulgare. RNAcentral describes it as "long non-coding RNA (HVUL_LNC017302)". The record is from RNAcentral. Lineage: Eukaryota; Viridiplantae; Streptophyta; Magnoliopsida; Poales; Poaceae.
UCCCUACAUUGUGAUAAUUAAUUUAUAGCCACAUUCAACAUCGCAUAUAGUACAUCGUAAGUUGUCCUCAAUCAGAUAAUCACCACUAUUUUAAUUUUAGUUGCAGCUUUCUGAAAUAAUUUGUGUCAUCUCACUGGAUGUUAAAAAACAAAGGGUACCUCACGUACAACCAUAGAACUGCUAAGUAACACAGCCCGUUCAAAGGAAAAAAAAUCGGGAGCUACAUGCACCGGGCUGCCCUUUUUUAUUUUAUUUUGAAUGGCAUUAUGUCGGGAGAGUAGCCCACCGUAAAUUUCUCAUAUUGAUCCAGAGUCAUCAAUCCUUCCCAAGGUGAUUUCUGUCUAAUCUUGGUUUAGUGUGUUCGCUUCGCAGCAAUGUCAGCAUGGGACCACAAUUGUAAAUAAUUUGAAUGACUUCAAUUUUCCAAGUCAUGUUUAAGUUAGGUCACCAGUUACACAAUCAAGCAACUGAGGGUUACUUCGGCUUGUGCAUACCUCUGGAUUUGCUUUUCUAGAUUCACUUGAUACCUAAUGGAUCCAACGUUUUUUCUGUUGACGGUUGUCGUCUGCUCGUGCUCUCUACUAUCGGACUGCUAGGAUCACCGUUCUUGUGGUUGUAUCGACAGUUCUGAUUUUUGUGGACGGUCCCAUCGCAGGUGCUUUUCUUCUCUCAUUCCUUUAUUUAUGCCUUUCCAUGUACAUGUUCUAAUUCAAAAUUGAUCUUCUAGGCAUGGGUUGUGGCUUACCAAGUCUAAUGUUUGUGUUGGGUUUUCCUUUUUUUUUUGUGGAGUUGGUCAGUUCAUUUGAAGCAAAAGAAUGGCAUGCAUUACCUUGCAUUGACAGUGUGAUUAAUCAUGCAACAUGAGUUAUUACAUAUUGUUGUGUAACGUACAAAAUGCCAGAUUCACUUAUUCAGCAUGUACCUAUAUUGCUCCUCUUCUGUAGUAAACCUUCUGGUUAAGUUUUGCAAUCAUCACCUCAUGUUAUACCUUGAAUAUUGUAUGUGCUCGAUCAAAUUGGAUGAAUCUCUAGACACCAUAGGCAUCUUAGAAUUGACAAUAUUGUGCAUGACUACAGGUUGUUGCGAAAAUGUUCUUGAACUAAUGCUAGCUCCAUCUGUUUUUUGUUUCCAUGUAAUUGAAAUGAGCUCUUUUCGAGCUUUGUUGUUCAGGCAUUUAGCAUUGGUUGUGUUUUUCUGUGGCUUGGCAGAGGUGUCGGUAUUGGUGGUCGAGCCACUAAUGCAGAACAUUAAUAGAGAGAUUUGUUGGCUGGACAUUGGCAUCCUCGUCAUGUCCAACUUCAG